ACUCCUAUAGCAUAACGGUAGUGUGGCCGGAAUACCCGGUAAGCCAGAAAGUCUGCUUAACGAUGUAGGUUCGAAUCCUACUAGGAGUA
Molecule: transfer RNA, 89 nt
Filed under: Lactobacillus phage Semele
Lineage: Duplodnaviria; Heunggongvirae; Uroviricota; Caudoviricetes; Herelleviridae
Description: tRNA-Tyr
Rfam family: tRNA
About the family: Transfer RNA (tRNA) molecules are approximately 80 nucleotides in length. Their secondary structure includes four short double-helical elements and three loops (D, anti-codon, and T loops).
Source: RNAcentral